AACGCAUAUGGCACCCGAGACCUCGGUCGAGGGUAUGUCUGCCUCAGAGUCGGCGUAAAACAAACUCCCUUGUUGUUGGUUCGGUCCAACCAGGGGGAACUGACCCUCCCGCACCGCUGGUGCGGGUUGGUCGAAGGACAGAAACGGGUACGCGCGGCAGUGGCUAUUUCCCAGCUAGCCGAGAUUUGUUGGAGAAAGGACCUAUGUCCGAUCUUUCUUUGUCUCGGGACCUUGGGGUUUAUGGCCCUGCCAUGGCGCGCCCGCCCUGCAGGAAACAUUAGGUCGCCGGGCUUCCGCGCCCUCCGGCCUCCUUGCAUCCGACCUGAGUUCAGGCAAGAUCACCCGCUGAACUUAA
Molecule: unclassified non-coding RNA, 355 nt
Filed under: uncultured fungus
Lineage: Eukaryota; Fungi
Description: partial contains 5.8S ribosomal RNA, internal transcribed spacer 2, and large subunit ribosomal RNA
Source: RNAcentral